GUUUGAGAAUGAUCUGAGACAGUGCAUCUUUUACCAACUGGCAUUCUAUCAACUGUUCCAUUCUAGGAUACAGAUUCAGUAUACUCUGAAGUAAAUUUGUUACCAGGUUGGCACAUUUCUGGCUGAUACAAAUAUUCAGGUGGUGCUGAGAAAGGAUUGCACAGAAUAACACCUUUUGGAAGCAAAGACCCCGGCUUUGUAUUCACCUAGAGUUUAGCCAAAGAGUAAUAACAUUAAAUCAUUUUCAGCUUAUAACACGAAAUAUGAAACUUACAAAUUCU
This 281-nucleotide small RNA is filed under the name Vigna angularis var. angularis. RNAcentral's name for it is "Non-protein coding transcript". Lineage: Eukaryota; Viridiplantae; Streptophyta; Magnoliopsida; Fabales; Fabaceae. The record is from RNAcentral.